UACGAAGGGUGCUAGCGUUGUUCGGAAUUACUGGGCGUAAAGCGCGCGUAGGCGGCUUAUCAAGUCAGGGGUGAAAUCCCGGGACUCAACCCCGGAAUUGCCCUUGAAACUGAUAAGCUAGAGUGUCGGAGGGGAUAGCGGAAUUCCUAAUGUAGAGGUGAAAUUCGUAGAUAUUAGGAGGAACACCGGUGGCGAAGGCGGCUAUCUGGACGACAACUGACGCUGAGGCGCGAAAGCGUGGGGAUCAAACAGG
This 253-nucleotide ribosomal RNA is filed under the name uncultured bacterium. RNAcentral's name for it is "partial 16S ribosomal RNA". It matches the Rfam family "Bacterial small subunit ribosomal RNA", at positions 524 to 776 of the family's 1533-position model. The record is from RNAcentral.